ACUUCAAAGCAGCACAUCUGACCUGCCAGAUAGAUCUCUAAGUCCAGAGAAACAGAGCAGCAAACUGCAUGAAUGAGACAAGAAGAUUACAGCUGUCUGACACUCAUGCAACACGCUGAACCUGGCCAAAAAUAUAUAAACAAAUGAAUAUAAGGAUAUGGAACAGAAACAUACACGGCUCACUCCUUCCCUCCCGUCCUUGCCGGUCCUCCUUACACAGUGACAUGGCCGGAGCCGCGCACCACCACAGGGUCCGGCGAGUGCUUCAGCAGCUGCUCUUCCAAGGCCCGCUCCUCAUCUUCCUCUUCUUCGUAGAUCUCGUCGAAGUCCGCCAUGGCCAGGUCGGGCCAGGCCAGGCCGCGAUGAGACUGCCGAGAAGCUGAGAGAAGAAGAGCAGGCCGGGAAUGAGAGAAGGGAAGAUAAGGGCGAGAGCAGCCGCUUCUUCUUCUACUUCUAAGACUACCACCGAAGCCCCGACCCAAGCGUCCGCCGAAAUCUCCUCUCAGAGCCGCCGGGAGGAAGCGCCCGUCAUGAUCCCGGGGAGGGGGAGAGAGAGACGGACAGGAACAACAACAAUAACAACAUCCGCUCUCCUGCGCCGCGGCAGCCACUGACUGAGAAGCCGCUGGCGCCAAGCCCCGCCCCGCUGCCCCCGGGCGCGCGCGUACCACUCUCUCAAUAAAACAGCAGCAGGGUCGUGAGCGCGUUCUCAGGCACAUGGAUUUAAGGGGGGAGGAGCGGCUGGCUUGGAGUCUGCAGAGCGCACGCGCCACUCUCAAGAUAGAUGUGUGCUAGCAAUAGAGUGGACGACAGCCGAAAGGGAAAGGUUGGCCUCCCUGAUGCGAUCUUGGUUGGGGAAGAGACAUUCCUGAAGCCUUGCUUCCAUGUCCACUCCUAAGCUUGGUUACUAGUAGGAAGGAGGUCACAGCGGAAUCGUCUUCAGCAUGAUGAGAUGAUGAGCAAGAUAAAAGAUCCAACAAGAUCAGAAGGAUCCAGCAUGAUUCCUACAGUAUGAUACCUACUAGUGGAAGCUUGUAAUUGCUGUUUUAUUUUUUUUCUUUCUAAUAAUGUUAUUUGUUAUUUAAUUUUGACAAUUGUAUUAUUUUAUUGAUGUAUUAUGUUCUAUUGAUGUAUUGCUAUAUUUGUGUUUUUGUAAGCCGCCUUGAGGGCCUUUUGACCAUAAGGCGGGGUAUAAAUUUAAUAAAUAAAUAAUAAAUAAAUGUGGUGGUGAAAAUGUCAAA
Long non-coding RNA from Rhineura floridana, 1241 nucleotides. RefSeq lists it as uncharacterized. Lineage: Eukaryota; Metazoa; Chordata; Lepidosauria; Squamata; Rhineuridae. The transcript is spliced from 2 exons. The record is from RefSeq and is a predicted model, not a curated record.